RNAcentral lists this ribosomal RNA (518 nucleotides) under uncultured bacterium. Its description in RNAcentral is "bacterial SSU rRNA". It matches the Rfam family "Bacterial small subunit ribosomal RNA", at positions 791 to 1314 of the family's 1533-position model. The record is from RNAcentral.
UAGUCCACGCCGUAAACGAUGGAUACUAGUUGUUUGGUUUUCGAACUGAGUGACUAAGCGAAAGUGAUAAGUAUCCCACCUGGGGAGUACGUUCGCAAGAAUGAAACUCAAAGGAAUUGACGGGGGCCCGCACAAGCGGUGGAGCAUGUGGUUUAAUUCGAUGAUACGCGAGGAACCUUACCAGGGCUUAAAUGUAGUAUGACAGACUGAGAGAUCGGUUUUUCUUCGGACAUAUUACAAGGUGCUGCAUGGUUGUCGUCAGCUCGUGCCGUGAGGUGUCAAGUUAAGUCCUAUAACGAGCGCAACCCCUGUUGUUAGUUGCCAUCGAGUAAUGUCGGGAACUCUAACAAGACUGCCGGUGCAAACCGCGAGGAAGGUGGGGAUGACGUCAAAUCAUCACGGCCCUUACGUCCUGGGCCACACACGUGCUACAAUGGUCGUGACAAAGAGUUGCUAGUCUGCGAAGGCAAACCAAUCUCAUAAACGCGGCCUUAGUUCGGAUUGCAGGCUGAAACUCG